RNAcentral lists this ribosomal RNA (117 nucleotides) under Escherichia coli. RNAcentral also lists the same sequence under 1 other name. Lineage: Bacteria; Pseudomonadati; Pseudomonadota; Gammaproteobacteria; Enterobacterales; Enterobacteriaceae. The record is from RNAcentral.
CCUGGCGGCCGUAGCGCGGUGGUCCCACCUGACCCCAUGCCGAACUCAGAAGUGAAACGCCGUAGCGCCGAUGGUAGUGUGGGGGUCUCCCCAUGCGAGAGUAGGGAACUGCCAGGC